AGCGAACGUUAGCGGCGGGCCUAACACAUGCAAGUCGUACGAGAACGCUCCUUCGGGAGUUAUUAAAGUGGCGCACGGGUGAGGAACGCGUAGGUAAUCUAACCCUCAGCGGGGGACAACACUCCGAAAGGAAUGCUAAUACCGCGUAAGACCACACUUACUAAGGUGAGAGUGGUAAAAGAUGGCCUCUUCUUGAAAGCCAUCACCAGAGGAUGAGCCUGCGUCCCAUCAGCUUGUUGGUAAGGUAACGGCUUACCAAGGCGAAGACGGGUAGCUGGUCUGAGAGGAUGAUCAGCCACACUGGCACUGGAACACGGGCCAGACUCCUACGGGGGGCAGCAGUGAGGAAUAUUGGGCAAUGGGCGCAAGCCUGACCCAGCCACGCCGCGUGUGUGAUGAAGGCCUUCGGGUCGUAAAGCACUGUGGGGAGGGACGAAAAAUCUCCGUUCGAAUAGGGCGGAGGCUUGACGGUACCUCCUUAGCAAGCACCGGCUAACUCUGUG
Molecule: ribosomal RNA, 503 nt
Filed under: uncultured bacterium
Lineage: Bacteria
Description: bacterial SSU rRNA
Rfam family: Bacterial small subunit ribosomal RNA
Source: RNAcentral